This is a long non-coding RNA of Ictidomys tridecemlineatus (thirteen-lined ground squirrel), 729 nucleotides long. RefSeq lists it as uncharacterized. Lineage: Eukaryota; Metazoa; Chordata; Mammalia; Rodentia; Sciuridae. The record is from RefSeq and is a predicted model, not a curated record.
GGGUGGAGAGGGUGCCUGCAGCCCUGUCUCUUUGUAGGAACACAUCCCAGGAAUGCCUGCAGCCUGUGAGAUGGCCGGCCACUGGAAAGCUACAUGUUUCCCACCAAGAUUCUGAAGGGUAAAGAAUGCCCCCGGUUGUGGGACAACACACCCCAAAUGAUGAUCUGAGUUGCUAGGAAAGAAACCUGAGGUUGACAUUGAGCACACCAUCUUCUUUGUCACCAUCCAGAGAAUCUACAAAGAACCAGAUCCCUCUCCUCAACAUGAAUCCUUCUGUGCUCUUGGAACCUGAAGUUUCCAGGGUUUUUAGGUGACAGAUUUACCCAGGGGCAGAAGAUUCACUGGGGUCACAGAAGGGAGUUGGCCACUCCUAGGUGCUGAUUUGAUGUGAAAUGGACCACAGGCUAAAACUGAAUUCUGCCUGGGGUGGCUUGAAGCAGUACAGAAAGGUCCUGGAAAGUUAUGUUCUUCAUCUGUUUUGCACUGCUAUAGCAGAAUAAAUACCAUCGGGUAAUUUCUAGAAAACAGAAAUUUAUUUGGCUCAUGCAUCUGGAGGUUGAGAAGUCCAUCUGGUGAGAGCCUUCUUGUUGUAUCAACAUGGCAGAAGGCAUCAUGUGGUGGGCAAGAAGGGAUCAAAUUUGCUUUUAUAACAAACCCACUCCCUUGAUGACAAAUCCCUCUCAUGAUAACAGAAUCAACCCACCCACAGAGUCCUCGUGAUGGACUCAC